Molecule: long non-coding RNA, 667 nt
Organism: Parus major (Great Tit)
Lineage: Eukaryota; Metazoa; Chordata; Aves; Passeriformes; Paridae
Source: Ensembl
UGGAAAUAAAAGGCUAUGAUUAUACUUGCCUACCAUCAGACAUCUACCUCGCUACUGUUCCUGAAUUGCCAUGGAAAGCAGUGUUAUGGGAGGAUGUGAAAGAGCAACUAAAGAGGCAAUAUUUUGUACUAUGCCCUUUGUUAUUCCACACUUCCUGCACACUCCUAAACAUUUCUUACUGCUCUUGCUGCCACCUGAGUUUGGCAAUAAAGCAAGGGAACCACCGCCUCUCUGACCCCACACAAGGCCCCUGCACCACUGCAGGAUGGGAUCCAUGUGCACCAGCUCCUCACCCCGGACACUGCCUCACAGCUCCCACCCUCGCCAGGGUGCCCACAGCAGCUCUCAGCCACCUCCGCCAGGCUGCCCAGAGCAGCCCUGGGCCACAGCAGAUUUUAAACAGGCUAAUUACAGCCACUCGGGUCAGCCGAGAGCAGCCAUGUGCUUUGCCAGGGGAGAUCUCAUCUGCAAGAGCCAGCUGAGCCCAGUCCUGGCAGACACUGAGCACCACGGAUGCCCAGCAUCAAAGCUGGAGACACAUGUGGGAGAAGUUGUGCAACCACAUGCAAGGCUGCAAUUUCUGAUGGCCAUGAACACAGAUCUGUGUCUUAUGCAUUCACAGAGCAUCUUCACAUCCUCUUCACUACUCCAUGACUUCUUGUAUUAG